Molecule: long non-coding RNA, 2002 nt
Organism: Mytilus californianus (California mussel)
Lineage: Eukaryota; Metazoa; Mollusca; Bivalvia; Mytilida; Mytilidae
Exons: 2
Source: RefSeq, a predicted model, not a curated record
CGGCGGCAGCGGCGGCGGCGGCGUUAGCUAACUUCUUAAAAGCUUUAUAUUUUAGAAGAUGGAAGACCUGGAUGCUUCAUACUUUGUAUAUAGAUGCCUCAUGUUACGAAGUUUCCGUCAGUCACAUGUCCAAUGUCCUUGACCUCAUUUUCAUGGUUCAGCGACUACUUGAAAAAAAAGUUCAGAUUUUUUGGAAUGUUAAAUUCUCUCUUAUUAUAAGUAAUAGGAUAACUAUAUUUGGUAUGUGCGUACCUUGCAAGGUCCUCAUGCCCGUCAGAUAGUUUUCACUUGACCUCGACCUCAUUUCAUGGAUCAGUGAACAAGGUUAAGUUUUCGUGGUCAAGUCCAUAUCUGAGAUACUAUAAGCAAUAGGUCUACUAUAUUUGGUGUAUGUAAUGAUAGUAAGGGGUACAUGUCUAACUGGCAGGUGUCAUCUGACCUUGACCUCAUUUUCAUGGUUCAGUGGUCAUAGUUUAGUUUUUGUGUUUUGGUCUGUUUUUCUAAUACUGUAUGCAAUAGGUCAACUGUAUUUGGUGUAUGGAAAUAUUGUACGAUGUUCAUGUCAGUCUGGCAAGUUUUAUUUGACCUUGACCUCAUUUUCACGGUUCAUUGCUCAAUGUUAAGUUUUUGUGUUUUGGUUUGUUUUUCUAAUAUUAUAUGCAGUAGGUCAACUAUAUUUAGUGUAUGGAAAUAUUUUACGAUGUACAUGUCAGUCUGGCAUGUUUUAUUUGACCUUGACCUCAUUUUCAAGGUUCAUUUUUAAAUGUUAAGUUUUUGUGUUUUGGUCUGUUUUCCUAAUACUGUAUGCAGUAGGUCAACUAUAUUUGGUGUAUGGAAAUAUUUUAUGGUCUUUAUGUCAGUCGCGCAGUUUUUAUUUGACCUUGACCUCAUUUUCACAGUUCAUUGCUCAGUGUUAAGUUUUUGUGUUUUGGUCUGUUUUUCUUAAACUAAGCAAUAGGUCAACUAUAUUUGUUGUAUAGAAGAAUUGUUAGCUGUACAUGCUUGCCUGGCAUGAUUCAUCUGACAUUGACCUCAUUUCCAUGGUUCAUUGGUCAAUGUUUAGUUUUCUUGGUUAAUGUUAAGUUUAUGUGACAGUUGUAAGAAAGCUUUAUAUUUAGGACUAUCAACAUAAUAUCAAUGAUUAGUAAAGAAGGCGAGACAUUUCAGCGUGUGCACUCUUGUUACAGUUCGUUCUUAUGUUGUACUAUUACACCACUGUCCCAGGUUAGGGGAAGGGUUGGGAUCCCGCUAACAUGAUUUAACCCGCCACAUUCUGUAUGUAUAUGCCUGUCCCAGAUUACGAGCCUGUAAUUCAGUGGUUGUCGUUUGUUGCUGUACAUUUUUGUUUUUCGUUCAUUUUUUGUACAUUUUAAAAUUAGGCUGUUAGAUUUCUUGUUUGAAUUGUUUUACAUUUGUCAUUCUAGGGCCUUUUAUAGCUGAAUAUGCAGCAUGGGCUUUGUUGAAGGCCGUACGGUGACCUAUAUAUAGUGAACUAUAGUUGUUAAUUUCUGUGUCAUUUGGUCUCUUGUGGAGAGUCUCAUUUGGCAAUCAUACCACAUCUUCUUUUUUUAUUAACUUACUCAACAUCAAGACAUACAAAUAUUGUUCUGUACUAAACAUCACAAGCACAUUGACAAUGUUGAUUUUCUUUUUUAACUUAACGUAUUUUACUGAUGAAUGAACUCUUUGGCAGCCAACACUACUCUUUUACACAGGAUUUUUUUAUUUUGCUAUUUGUUUUUGUGUCUUGUACCAAUCUGAAUAAUUAUGCCAUUUCCAAUUAAUCUUAACAUGUUUUUUUAUAAUGUUAUGCUAUUAAACCACUAUCCCAGGUUAGUGGAGAAUGGAUGGCUUACAAACAUAUUUAAUCUCGUCAUAUUCUUUAUGUUCUUCUUCCAAGCCAUAAGCCUGUAUUCCAGUGCACUGGCUGCAUUGGUUGUUGUCUGAUAUUUUUGUUAUUUUACUGCUUUUAGCAUUAAAUAUAUAUGUUUUUUAUUCCCAA